GCCCAGCUAGCUCAGUUGCUAGAGCACGAGACUCUUAAUCUCAGGGUCGUAGGUUUGAGCCCCGCAAUGGGCG
This 73-nucleotide transfer RNA is filed under the name Mus musculus (house mouse). It matches the Rfam family "tRNA". From Rfam's summary of the family: Transfer RNA (tRNA) molecules are approximately 80 nucleotides in length. Their secondary structure includes four short double-helical elements and three loops (D, anti-codon, and T loops). Further hydrogen bonds mediate the characteristic L-shaped molecular structure. tRNAs have two regions of fundamental functional importance: the anti-codon, which is responsible for specific mRNA codon recognition, and the 3' end, to which the tRNAs corresponding amino acid is attached (by aminoacyl-tRNA synthetases). tRNAs cope with the degeneracy of the genetic code in two manners: having more than one tRNA (with a specific anti-codon) for a particular amino acid; and 'wobble' base-pairing, i.e. permitting non-standard base-pairing at the 3rd anti-codon position. The record is from Rfam by way of RNAcentral. Lineage: Eukaryota; Metazoa; Chordata; Mammalia; Rodentia; Muridae.